RNAcentral lists this long non-coding RNA (204 nucleotides) under Mytilus galloprovincialis (Mediterranean mussel). The record is from RNAcentral. Lineage: Eukaryota; Metazoa; Mollusca; Bivalvia; Mytilida; Mytilidae.
GAUGUGGUAUGAUUGCAAAUGGGACUAAUUUCCACAAGAGACCUAAUGACCGAUGACACAAAAAUAAACUUAUAUCACCACCUUCAAUAAUACUCAAAUAUUGUAAGCUGUAGGAUAACUAUAUGAGGGUUUGGAUGGGGUUAAAUGAUUAAAGAAUAAUACCCUUAAAAAAUGAAGAUUAGACAUGUUAGAGAAUAACGGGCA